GGGCCCGUGGCCAAGCCAGGAUAAAGGCGUCGGCCUCCGGAGCCGAAGACCCUGGGUUCAAAUCCCAGCGGGCCCG
Molecule: transfer RNA, 76 nt
Filed under: Candidatus Bathyarchaeota archaeon
Lineage: Archaea; Thermoproteati; Candidatus Bathyarchaeota
Description: tRNA-Arg
Rfam family: tRNA
About the family: Transfer RNA (tRNA) molecules are approximately 80 nucleotides in length. Their secondary structure includes four short double-helical elements and three loops (D, anti-codon, and T loops). Further hydrogen bonds mediate the characteristic L-shaped molecular structure. tRNAs have two regions of fundamental functional importance: the anti-codon, which is responsible for specific mRNA codon recognition, and the 3' end, to which the tRNAs corresponding amino acid is attached (by aminoacyl-tRNA synthetases). tRNAs cope with the degeneracy of the genetic code in two manners: having more than one tRNA (with a specific anti-codon) for a particular amino acid; and 'wobble' base-pairing, i.e. permitting non-standard base-pairing at the 3rd anti-codon position.
Source: RNAcentral